RNAcentral lists this ribosomal RNA (253 nucleotides) under uncultured bacterium. RNAcentral describes it as "partial 16S ribosomal RNA". It matches the Rfam family "Bacterial small subunit ribosomal RNA", at positions 524 to 776 of the family's 1533-position model. The record is from RNAcentral.
UACGUAGGUGGCAAGCGUUGUUCGGAAUUACUGGGCGUAAAGGGCUCGUAGGCGGCCAACUAAGUCGGACGUGAAAUCCCUCGGCUUAACCGGGGAACUGCGUCUGAUACUGGAUGGCUUGAAUCCGGGAGAGGGAUGCGGAAUUCCAGGUGUAGCGGUGAAAUGCGUAGAUAUCUGGAGGAACACCGGUGGCGAAGGCGGCAUCCUGGACCGGCAUUGACGCUGAGGAGCGAAAGCCAGGGGAGCAAACGGG